AGGGUUAGGUUUAGGAUGGGGGUCAGGUCAGGGGUCAUCCUAUAACCUAAAGGGUUAGGGUUAGGUUUAGGAUGGAGGUCAGGUCUGGGGUCAUCCUAUAACCUAAAGGGUUGGUUAGGUUUAGGUAUGAGCAGCUGGUUAUGGUUAGGGUUAGGUUUUUGGGGUAUGGGGAAAUCCUAAACAGGGUGAAACCCACGGUCAGGACCUCCCAGGCAUUGGCGCAGCUGCCAUCUAAACACCCUCCAACCUCAUCUGUCUUUACACCUCAUGAACUUGGUAUAAAGAAAUAAAAUGAAAUAAAAAAACAAAUAAAUAAAUAAA
Clupea harengus (Atlantic herring) is the source of this 321-nucleotide long non-coding RNA. RefSeq lists it as uncharacterized. NCBI's taxonomy places the organism in Eukaryota, Metazoa, Chordata, Actinopteri, Clupeiformes, Clupeidae. The record is from RefSeq and is a predicted model, not a curated record. The transcript is spliced from 2 exons.